This 468-nucleotide ribosomal RNA is filed under the name uncultured bacterium. Its description in RNAcentral is "partial 16S ribosomal RNA". It matches the Rfam family "Bacterial small subunit ribosomal RNA", at positions 28 to 507 of the family's 1533-position model. The record is from RNAcentral.
GACGAACGCUGGCGGCGUGCUUAACACAUGCAAGUCGAACGGAAAGGCCCUGCUUUUGUGGGGUGCUCGAGUGGCGAACGGGGGAGUAACACGUGAGUAACCUGCCCUUGACUUUGGGAUAACUUCAGGAAACUGGGGCGAAUACCGGAUAGGAGCUCCUGCUGCAUGGGGGGGGUUGGAAAGUUUCGGCGGUGGGGGAUGGACUCGCGGCUUAUCAGCUUGUUGGUGGGGUAGUGGCUUACCAAGGCUUUGACGGGUAGCCGGCCUGAGAGGGUGACCGGCCACAUUGGGCCUGCGAUACGGCCCAGACUCCUACGGGCGGCAGCAGUGGGGAAUCUUGCACAAUGGGCGGAAGCCUGAUGCAGCAACGCCGCGUGCGUGAUGACGGCCUUCGGGUUGUAAACCGCUUUCGCCUGUGACGAAGCGUGAGUGACGGUACUGGGUAAAGAAGCACCGGCUAACUACGUG